AACGAACGCUGGCGGCAGGCUUAACACAUGCAAGUCGAGCGCCCCGCAAGGGGAGCGGCAGACGGGUGAGUAACGCGUGGGAACGUACCUUUUGGUUCGGAACAACUCCGGGAAACUGGAGCUAAUACCGGAUAAGCCCUAACGGGGAAAGAUUUAUCGCCGAAAGAUCGGCCCGCGUCUGAUUAGCUAGUUGGUGAGGUAACGGCUCACCAAGGCGACGAUCAGUAGCUGGUCUGAGAGGAUGAUCAGCCACACUGGGACUGAGACACGGCCCAGACUCCUGCGGGAGGCAGCAGUGGGGAAUAUUGGACAAUGGGCGCAAGCCUGAUCCAGCCAUGCCGCGUGAGUGAUGAAGGCCUUAGGGUUGUAAAGCUCUUUUGUCCGGGAAGAUAAUGACUGUACCGGAAGAAUAAGCCCCGGCUAACUUCGUG
Molecule: ribosomal RNA, 431 nt
Filed under: uncultured bacterium
Lineage: Bacteria
Description: partial 16S ribosomal RNA
Rfam family: Bacterial small subunit ribosomal RNA
Source: RNAcentral